Molecule: ribosomal RNA, 63 nt
Filed under: Lasiodiplodia crassispora
Lineage: Eukaryota; Fungi; Ascomycota; Dothideomycetes; Botryosphaeriales; Botryosphaeriaceae
Description: partial 28S ribosomal RNA
Source: RNAcentral
CAAGGUUGACCUCGGAUCAGGUAGGGAUACCCGCUGAACUUAAGCAUAUCCAAAUAAGCGGAA